UAAACCUUUAAUUUAGCCCUGAGAGGCUAAGAAGGAUUAAUAAUGAAAAUAUCAAUCGGGAAUAACAAACCUUCUCACAUGCAAUCAUAGUGAGGGGGUUUUUUUUUG
Non-coding RNA from Nitrospirae bacterium RBG_16_43_11, 108 nucleotides. The record is from Rfam. NCBI's taxonomy places the organism in Bacteria, Pseudomonadati, Nitrospirota.